RNAcentral lists this ribosomal RNA (505 nucleotides) under Orthetrum sabina. RNAcentral's name for it is "partial 16S ribosomal RNA". It matches the Rfam family "Bacterial large subunit ribosomal RNA", at positions 1819 to 2597 of the family's 2925-position model. Lineage: Eukaryota; Metazoa; Arthropoda; Insecta; Odonata; Libellulidae. The record is from RNAcentral.
GUCCUUUUGAAUUUAAUUUAAGGUCUGACCUGCCCAGUGAUAAUUUUAACGGCCGCGGUAUACUGACCGUGCAAAGGUAGCAUAAUCAUUAGUCUUUUAAUAGAGGGCUGGAAUGAAAGGUUUAACGAGGAAUUGACUGUCUCAUUUUAUUUGUUUUAAAAUUUAAUUUUUUAGUUAAAAAGCUAAAAUCUUAUUGGAAGACGAGAAGACCCUAUAGAGCUUUACAUAUAAUUAAAUAAAUAUUUUUAUAUUAAUAUCUUUAUUUAAUUUUGUGUUUUGUUGGGGUGACAAAAAUAUAUAAAUAACUUUUUUAUUUAAUUAACAUUGAUUUAUGAAUAUUAGAUCCAUUAUUAUUGAUUAUUAGACUAAGUUACCUUAGGGAUAACAGCGUAAUCCUCCUCCAGAGUUCGUAUUUACAGGAUGGGCUUGCGACCUCGAUGUUGGAUUAAGAUAAUAAUUAGGUGUAGCCGCUUAAUUGAUAGGUCUGUUCGACCUUUAAAUUCUU